GGGUUGUGAGGUUAAGCGACUAAGCGUACACGGUGGAUGCCCUGGCAGUCAGAGGCGAUGAAGGACGUGCUAAUCUGCGAUAAGCGUCGGUAAGGUGAUAUGAACCGUUAUAACCGGCGAUUUCCGAAUGGGGAAACCCAGUGUGUUUCGACACACUAUCAUUAACUGAAUCCAUAGGUUAAUGAGGCGAACCGGGGGAACUGAAACAUCUAAGUACCCCGAGGAAAAGAAAUCAACCGAGAUUCCCCCAGUAGCGGCGAGCGAACGGGGAGCAGCCCAGAGCCUGAAUCAGUGUGUGUGUUAGUGGAAGCGUCUGGAAAGGCGCGCGAUACAGGGUGACAGCCCCGUACACAAAAAUGCACAUGCUGUGAGCUCGAUGAGUAGGGCGGGACACGUGGUAUCCUGUCUGAAUAUGGGGGGACCAUCCUCCAAGGCUAAAUACUCCUGACUGACCGAUAGUGAACCAGUACCGUGAGGGAAAGGCGAAAAGAACCCCGGCGAGGGGAGUGAAAAAGAACCUGAAACCGUGUACGUACAAGCAGUGGGAGCCUCUUUAUGGGGUGACUGCGUACCUUUUGUAUAAUGGGUCAGCGACUUAUAUUCUGUAGCAAGGUUAACCGAAUAGGGGAGCCGAAGGGAAACCGAGUCUUAACUGGGCGUUAAGUUGCAGGGUAUAGACCCGAAACCCGGUGAUCUAGCCAUGGGCAGGUUGAAGGUUGGGUAACACUAACUGGAGGACCGAACCGACUAAUGUUGAAAAAUUAGCGGAUGACUUGUGGCUGGGGGUGAAAGGCCAAUCAAACCGGGAGAUAGCUGGUUCUCCCCGAAAGCU
RNAcentral lists this ribosomal RNA (832 nucleotides) under Escherichia coli. RNAcentral describes it as "partial 23S ribosomal RNA". It matches the Rfam family "Bacterial large subunit ribosomal RNA", at positions 1 to 867 of the family's 2925-position model. Lineage: Bacteria; Pseudomonadati; Pseudomonadota; Gammaproteobacteria; Enterobacterales; Enterobacteriaceae. The record is from RNAcentral.